AUUGAACGCUGGCGGCAUGCCUUACACAUGCAAGUCGAACGGCAGCACGGGUGCUUGCACCUGGUGGCGAGUGGCGAACGGGUGAGUAAUACAUCGGAACGUACCUUAUCGUGGGGGAUAACGCAGCGAAAGCUGUGCUAAUACCGCAUAUGCCUUGAGGGGGAAAGCGGGGGAUUGCAAGACCUCGCGCGAUUAGAGCGGCCGAUGCCUGAUUAGCUUGUUGGUGGGGUAAAAGCCCACCAAGGCGACGAUCAGUAGCUGGUCUGAGAGGACGAUCAGCCACACUGGGACUGAGACACGGCCCAGACUCCUACGGGAGGCAGCAGUGGGGAAUUUUGGACAAUGGGGGCAACCCUGAUCCAGCAAUGCCGCGUGAGUGAAGAAGGCCUUCGGGUUGUAAAGCUCUUUUGUCAGGGAAGAAACACCGGCUCUAACACAGUCCGGGAAUGACGGUACCUGAAGAAUAAGCACCGGCUAACUACGUGCCAGCCGCCGCAGUAA
RNAcentral lists this ribosomal RNA (501 nucleotides) under uncultured bacterium. RNAcentral's name for it is "partial 16S ribosomal RNA". It matches the Rfam family "Bacterial small subunit ribosomal RNA", at positions 30 to 523 of the family's 1533-position model. The record is from RNAcentral.